UACAAGGGUUUCUAGUGGAUGCCUUGGCGCACAGAGGCGAUGAAAGACGUGGUACGCUGCGAUAAGUCCGGGUGAGGUGCGAACAACCUUUGACCCCGGAAUCUCUGAAUGGGGAAACCCAACUCUACAGAUUCUGAUGUUUAUCUGAUUAUCCGGCUUGCCGGGUGUCAGGUUUGCAUCGGACAUUUGUCGAGUUAUCUUAGUCUGAAUACAUAGGACUAAAGAAGCAAACCCGGGGAACUGAAACAUCUCAGUACCCGGAGGAAAGGACAUCAACCGAGACUCCGUUAGUAGUGGCGAGCGAACGCGGAUCAGGCCAGUGGCUAUAAUAAUCUAAACCGAAUGUGUUGGGAAGCACGACCAAAGUGGGUGACAGUCCCGUAGGUGUAAUGAGUAUUAUGGUCCAUGAGUAGGGCGGGACACGUGAAAUCCUGUCUGAAUAUGGGGGGACCACCCUCCAAGCCUAAGUACUCCUGUGCGACCGAUAGUGAACUAGUACCGUGAGGGAAAGGUGAAAAGUCCCCCGACGAGGGGUGUGAAACAGUCCCUGAAACUGGAAAUCUACAAGCUGUCGAAGCCUUCUUGUCCUUCGGGACAUGCAGGGCGACGGCGUACCUUUUGUAUAAUGGGUCAGCGACUUGGUCUUACAAGCAAGCUUAAACCGUUAGGUGUAGGCGUAGCGAAAGCGAGUGUUAAUAGCGCGAUUGAGUUUGUAGGAUCAGACCCGAAACCAAGUGAUCUAGCCAUGUGCAGGUUGAAGGUGAGGUAACACUCACUGGAGGACCGAACCCACUUAUGUUGAAAAAUGACGGGAUGACAUGUGGCUAGGGGUGAAAGGCCAAUCAAACUUGGAGAUAGCUGGUUCUCCGCGAAAUCUAUUUAGGUAGAGCGUCUGAUGAAUACCCUAGGGGGUAGAGCACUGGAUGGGCUAGGGGGUCUCACCGACUUACCAAACCUAACCAAACUCCGAAUACCUAGGAGUAAUAUCAGGCAGACACACUACGGGUGCUAAGGUCCGUAGUGGAAAGGGAAACAGCCCUGACCGUCGUCUAAGGUCCCUAAAUAAUCACUAAGUGGUAAAGAAUGUGAGAGUGCUUAGACAACCAGGAUGUUGGCUUAGAAGCAGCCAUCAUUUAAAGAUAGCGUAACAGCUCACUGGUCAAGCGCUCCUGCGUCGAAAAUGUACCGGGGCUAAAGUGAUUUACCGAAGACACGGACGCACAUUUAUGUGCGUGGUAGCGGAGCGUUCCGUAAGCCUGUGAAGGGGUCCUGUGAGGGGUCCUGGAGGUAUCGGAAGUGAGAAUGCUGACAUGAGUAACGAUAAAAGGGGUGAGAGACCCCUUCGCCGAAAGAUCAAGGUUUCCUGCGCAAUGCUAAUCAGCGCAGGGUUAGCCGGCCCCUAAGACGAGGCAGAAAUGCGUAGUCGAUGGGAACCAGUUUAAUAUUACUGGGCCAUUGGGUGGUGACGGAUUGCGUGUAUUGUACAUCCUUAUUGGAUUGGGUGUGCAGUGAAGCAGUUCCUGGAAAUAGCCCCCAUAUAUGACCGUACCCUAAACCGACACAGGUGAUCAGGUAGAGAAUACCAAGGCGCUUGAGAGAACUAUGCUGAAGGAACUCGGCAAAUUACCUCCGUAACUUCGGGAGAAGGAGGCCUGGCUGGUACGCAAGUACUUGUCAGGGGCACAGACCAGGGGGUGGCGACUGUUUAUUAAAAACAUAGGGCUCUGCGAAGUUGCAAAACGACGUAUAGGGUCUGACGCCUGCCCGGUGCUGGAAGGUUAAAAGGAGGGGUGCAAGCUCCGAAUUGAAGCCCCAGUAAACGGCGGCCGUAACUAUAACGGUCCUAAGGUAGCGAAAUUCCUUGUCGGGUAAGUUCCGACCUGCACGAAUGGCGUAACGACUUCCCCACUGUCUCCAGCAUAGACUCAGUGAAAUUGAAUUCCUCGUGAAGAUGCGAGGUACCCGCGGCUAGACGGAAAGACCCCAUGAACCUUUACUACAGCUUGACAGUGCCAUUUGUAACAAUUUGUGUAGGAUAGGCGGGAGACUAUGAAGCGUGGGCGCUAGCUCAUGUGGAGUCGUCCUUGAAAUACCGCCCUUGUUUUUAUGAAUGUCUAACCGCGGUCCGUUAUCCGGAUCCGGGACAUUGUCUGGUGGGUAGUUUGACUGGGGCGGUCGCCUCCUAAAGAGUAACGGAGGCGCGCGAUGGUUGGCUCAGACCGGUCGGAAAUCGGUCGUUGAGUGCAAUGGCAUAAGCCAGCCUGACUGCGAGAGUGACAACUCGAGCAGAGACGAAAGUCGGUCAUAGUGAUCCGGUGGUCCCGCGUGGAAGGGCCAUCGCUCAACGGAUAAAAGGUACUCUGGGGAUAACAGGCUGAUGACGCCCAAGAGUCCAUAUCGACGGCGUUGUUUGGCACCUCGAUGUCGGCUCAUCGCAUCCUGGGGCUGGAGAAGGUCCCAAGGGUAUGGCUGUUCGCCAUUUAAAGCGGUACGUGAGCUGGGUUUAGAACGUCGUGAGACAGUUCGGUCCCUAUCUACCGUGGGAGUAGGAGUUUUGAGAGGAUCUGCCCUUAGUACGAGAGGACCGGGGUGGACAUUCCUCUGGUGGAGCUGUUGUCGCGCCAGCGGCAUUGCAGCGUAGCUAUGAAUGGAACGGAUAACCGCUGAAAGCAUCUAAGCGGGAAACCACCCUCAAUACGAGAGCUCCCUUGAGAGUCGUUCAAGACUAGGACGUUGAUAGGCUGGGUGUGGAAGCGUGGUAACACGUGAAGCUUACCAGUACUAAUAACUCGAUUGGCUUGAUU
RNAcentral lists this ribosomal RNA (2804 nucleotides) under Algimonas arctica. RNAcentral's name for it is "23S ribosomal RNA". It matches the Rfam family "Bacterial large subunit ribosomal RNA". Lineage: Bacteria; Pseudomonadati; Pseudomonadota; Alphaproteobacteria; Maricaulales; Robiginitomaculaceae. The record is from RNAcentral.